This 2932-nucleotide ribosomal RNA is filed under the name Escherichia coli M8. RNAcentral describes it as "bacterial LSU rRNA". It matches the Rfam family "Bacterial large subunit ribosomal RNA". Lineage: Bacteria; Pseudomonadati; Pseudomonadota; Gammaproteobacteria; Enterobacterales; Enterobacteriaceae. The record is from RNAcentral.
GGGUUGUGAGGUUAAGCGACUAAGCGUACACGGUGGAUGCCCUGGCAGUCAGAGGCGAUGAAGGACGUGCUAAUCUGCGAUAAGCGUCGGUAAGGUGAUAUGAACCGUUAUAACCGGCGAUUUCCGAAUGGGGAAACCCAGUGUGAUUCGUCACACUAUCAUUAACUGAAUCCAUAGGUUAAUGAGGCGAACCGGGGGAACUGAAACAUCUAAGUACCCCGAGGAAAAGAAAUCAACCGAGAUUCCCCCAGUAGCGGCGAGCGAACGGGGAGCAGCCCAGAGCCUGAAUCAGUGUGUGUGUUAGUGGAAGCGUCUGGAAAGGCGUGCGAUACAGGGUGACAGCCCCGUACACAAAAAUGCACAUACUGUGAGCUCGAUGAGUAGGGCGGGACACGUGGUAUCCUGUCUGAAUAUGGGGGGACCAUCCUCCAAGGCUAAAUACUCCUGACUGACCGAUAGUGAACCAGUACCGUGAGGGAAAGGCGAAAAGAACCCCGGCGAGGGGAGUGAAAAAGAACCUGAAACCGUGUACGUACAAGCAGUGGGAGCACAGAGCAAUCUGUGUGACUGCGUACCUUUUGUAUAAUGGGUCAGCGACUUAUAUUCUGUAGCAAGGUUAACCGAAUAGGGGAGCCGAAGGGAAACCGAGUCUUAACUGGGCGUUAAGUUGCAGGGUAUAGACCCGAAACCCGGUGAUCUAGCCAUGGGCAGGUUGAAGGUUGGGUAACACUAACUGGAGGACCGAACCGACUAAUGUUGAAAAAUUAGCGGAUGACUUGUGGCUGGGGGUGAAAGGCCAAUCAAACCGGGAGAUAGCUGGUUCUCCCCGAAAGCUAUUUAGGUAGCGCCUCGUGAAUUCAUCUCCGGGGGUAGAGCACUGUUUCGGCAAGGGGGUCAUCCCGACUUACCAACCCGAUGCAAACUGCGAAUACCGGAGAAUGUUAUCACGGGAGACACACGGCGGGUGCUAACGUCCGUCGUGAAGAGGGAAACAACCCAGACCGCCAGCUAAGGUCCCAAAGUCAUGGUUAAGUGGGAAACGAUGUGGGAAGGCCCAGACAGCCAGGAUGUUGGCUUAGAAGCAGCCAUCAUUUAAAGAAAGCGUAAUAGCUCACUGGUCGAGUCGGCCUGCGCGGAAGAUGUAACGGGGCUAAACCAUGCACCGAAGCUGCGGCAGCGACGCUUAUGCGUUGUUGGGUAGGGGAGCGUUCUGUAAGCCUGCGAAGGUGUGCUGUGAGGCAUGCUGGAGGUAUCAGAAGUGCGAAUGCUGACAUAAGUAACGAUAAAGCGGGUGAAAAGCCCGCUCGCCGGAAGACCAAGGGUUCCUGUCCAACGUUAAUCGGGGCAGGGUGAGUCGACCCCUAAGGCGAGGCCGAAAGGCGUAGUCGAUGGGAAACAGGUUAAUAUUCCUGUACUUGGUGUUACUGCGAAGGGGGGACGGAGAAGGCUAUGUUGGCCGGGCGACGGUUGUCCCGGUUUAAGCGUGUAGGCUGGUUUUCCAGGCAAAUCCGGAAAAUCAAGGCUGAGGCGUGAUGACGAGGCACUACGGUGCUGAAGCAACAAAUGCCCUGCUUCCAGGAAAAGCCUCUAAGCAUCAGGUAACAUCAAAUCGUACCCCAAACCGACACAGGUGGUCAGGUAGAGAAUACCAAGGCGCUUGAGAGAACUCGGGUGAAGGAACUAGGCAAAAUGGUGCCGUAACUUCGGGAGAAGGCACGCUGAUAUGUAGGUGAAGUCCCUCGCGGAUGGAGCUGAAAUCAGUCGAAGAUACCAGCUGGCUGCAACUGUUUAUUAAAAACACAGCACUGUGCAAACACGAAAGUGGACGUAUACGGUGUGACGCCUGCCCGGUGCCGGAAGGUUAAUUGAUGGGGUCAGCGCAAGCGAAGCUCUUGAUCGAAGCCCCGGUAAACGGCGGCCGUAACUAUAACGGUCCUAAGGUAGCGAAAUUCCUUGUCGGGUAAGUUCCGACCUGCACGAAUGGCGUAAUGAUGGCCAGGCUGUCUCCACCCGAGACUCAGUGAAAUUGAACUCGCUGUGAAGAUGCAGUGUACCCGCGGCAAGACGGAAAGACCCCGUGAACCUUUACUAUAGCUUGACACUGAACAUUGAGCCUUGAUGUGUAGGAUAGGUGGGAGGCUUUGAAGUGUGGACGCCAGUCUGCAUGGAGCCGACCUUGAAAUACCACCCUUUAAUGUUUGAUGUUCUAACGUUGACCCGUGAUCCGGGUUGCGGACAGUGUCUGGUGGGUAGUUUGACUGGGGCGGUCUCCUCCUAAAGAGUAACGGAGGAGCACGAAGGUUGGCUAAUCCUGGUCGGACAUCAGGAGGUUAGUGCAAUGGCAUAAGCCAGCUUGACUGCGAGCGUGACGGCGCGAGCAGGUGCGAAAGCAGGUCAUAGUGAUCCGGUGGUUCUGAAUGGAAGGGCCAUCGCUCAACGGAUAAAAGGUACUCCGGGGAUAACAGGCUGAUACCGCCCAAGAGUUCAUAUCGACGGCGGUGUUUGGCACCUCGAUGUCGGCUCAUCACAUCCUGGGGCUGAAGUAGGUCCCAAGGGUAUGGCUGUUCGCCAUUUAAAGUGGUACGCGAGCUGGGUUUAGAACGUCGUGAGACAGUUCGGUCCCUAUCUGCCGUGGGCGCUGGAGAACUGAGGGGGGCUGCUCCUAGUACGAGAGGACCGGAGUGGACGCAUCACUGGUGUUCGGGUUGUCAUGCCAAUGGCACUGCCCGGUAGCUAAAUGCGGAAGAGAUAAGUGCUGAAAGCAUCUAAGCACGAAACUUGCCCCGAGAUGAGUUCUCCCUGACUCCUUGAGAGUCCUGAAGGAACGUUGAAGACGACGACGUUGAUAGGCCGGGUGUGUAAGCGCAGCGAUGCGUUGAGCUAACCGGUACUAAUGAACCGUGAGGCUUAACCUUACAACGCCGAAGCUGUU